GACGAACGCUGGCGGCGUGCUUAACACAUGCAAGUCGAACGCUGAAGCUCAGCUUUUGUUGGGUGGAUGAGUGGCGAACGGGUGAGUAACACGUGAGUAACCUGCCUCCUUCUUUGGGAUAACGCCCGGAAACGGGUGCUAAUACUGGAUAUUCACUGGUCUUCGCAUGGGGGUUGGUGGAAAGGGUUUUUCUGGUGGGGGAUGGGCUCGCGGCCUAUCAGCUUGUUGGUGGGGUGAUGGCCUACCAAGGCUUUGACGGGUAGCCGGCCUGAGAGGGUGACCGGUCACAGUGGGACUGAGAUACGGCCGAGACUCCUACGGGAGGCAGCAGUGGGGAAGAUUGCACAAUGGGCGCAAGCCUGAUGCAGCGACGCCGCGUGAGGGAUGGAGGCCUUCGGGUUGUGAACCUCUUUCGCUCAUGGUCAAGCCGCAACAAUGGUUGUGGUGAGGGUAGUGGGUAAAGAAGCGCCGGCUAACUACGUG
This 483-nucleotide ribosomal RNA is filed under the name uncultured bacterium. Its description in RNAcentral is "partial 16S ribosomal RNA". It matches the Rfam family "Bacterial small subunit ribosomal RNA", at positions 28 to 507 of the family's 1533-position model. The record is from RNAcentral.